UUCUUUAUCACCGAGUGCUUGCACUCACCGGUAAAGGGUUGAGUGGCGAACGGGUGAGUAACACGUGGGCAACCUGCCCAAAAGAGGGGGAUAACACUUGGAAACAGGUGCUAAUACCGCAUAACCAUAGUUACCGCAUGGUAGCUAUGUAAAAGGUGGCUAUGCUACCGCUUUUGGAUGGGCCCGCGGCGCAUUAGCUAGUUGGUGGGGUAAAGGCUUACCAAGGCAAUGAUGCGUAGCCGAACUGAGAGGUUGAUCGGCCACAUUGGGACUGAGACACGGCCCAAACUCCUACGGGAGGCAGCAGUAGGGAAUCUUCCACAAUGGGCGAAAGCCUGAUGGAGCAACGCCGCGUGGGUGAAGAAGGUCUUCGGAUCGUAAGACCCUGUUGUUAGAGAAGAAAGUGCGUGAGAGUAACUGUUCACGUUUCGACGGUAUCUAACCAGAAAGCCACGGCUAACUACGUGCCAGCAGCCGCGGUAAUACGUAGGUGGCAAGCGUUAUCCGGAUUUAUUGGGCGUAAAGGGAACGCAGGCGGUCUUUUAAGUCUGAUGUGAAAGCCUUCGGCUUAACCGGAGUAGUGCAUUGGAAACUGGGAGACUUGAGUGCAGAAGAGGAGAGUGGAACUCCAUGUGUAGCGGUGAAAUGCGUAGAUAUAUGGAAGAACACCAGUGGCGAAAGCGGCUCUCUGGUCUGUAACUGACGCUGAGGUUCGAAAGCGUGGGUAGCAAACAGGAUUAGAUACCCUGGUAGUCCACGCCGUAAACGAUGAAUGCUAAGUGUUGGA
Molecule: ribosomal RNA, 787 nt
Filed under: uncultured bacterium
Lineage: Bacteria
Description: bacterial SSU rRNA
Rfam family: Bacterial small subunit ribosomal RNA
Source: RNAcentral